Molecule: long non-coding RNA, 6212 nt
Filed under: Orbicella faveolata
Lineage: Eukaryota; Metazoa; Cnidaria; Anthozoa; Scleractinia; Merulinidae
Description: uncharacterized LOC110055521, transcript variant X1
Source: RNAcentral
AACAGCUCUGUAAUCGUAAGGUUCGAGAUUUUGCUACGGCUUUACGGGUCCGAAAAGUUUCCGGAGCUUUCGUGAAACGGGCCUAAGUAGGGUAUCUUAAAGAGAGCAAGGGUUUUGGGAAGUGAGCCGCACAUCACACCCAAUUUUUUUCUGGGAGUAUACCUCCACCCCCCGCGCCCCCGAGGUGUUGAACUUCUCUAUAACCACCCUGAUCCCUACCAUUGCAGAUAGGUUUCAAUCUAAAUAGGAUUCUCUGCUGUCAGCAGAUGUCAUAUCAUGGUUAAGGAAAUAUGCAUUUGUUUUUUUUUUUGUUUUUUUUUUGUUUUUUUUUUUAACAUCAGUUCGUGUGCCUUCAGCAGAAGUUCCCCUCGUGACUCUGUGACUCGAUUGUGACAGCUGUAGGUAAUGUGGUACCAAUCAUUUCAUUUCAAACAAGAAACAUAUCAGCCUAGCUUAGCAUUUUGAUAAUUUCUAUACCCCUACAAAAAUUAGCUGGAGAAUAGUGGCUUCUUUAGCUAUCCUGAAUUCACAUUGAAUUUCAAUGAUAGAAGCCACUAACCAACCAUCCUUACCAUAAAAUUCUUUUUACAUGGGCUGAACGUAAGGCAAUGUUUAAAAGUAAAAAGUCAUUUACUACUCGCUGGAUACCUCAAAAUAAUUAUCUGCUAAGGAAGUGGAGAAUUUCGCCGCAGCUAUGAUAGAAAAACGUGAAAAAUUGAUAACUCAAACAUUGUAGAAGAUUAACUUAAUACCUCUCUUCCGGAGGAAAAAAAAUAGUUAAGCCAUUAACUGCAUAACAAACAGCGUGUCUUAUUAUUUAUAAAGAUCAAUACCAUUACAAAAGAUCGAGCCAAUAUAGAACCAUUAUUUCGAUAGUUCUGUGUGAUCUUAGCGAGUCACCUGCCCUGGAAAGGUUAACUUCUUAAAAUUUCUGGCAGGCUCCGUUCCAUUUAUAGAUAGUUUGGACCAAGGGUGAGUUUCCAUCCACAGGAUAAGACUGAUGAAGCUAAAAUCCCCCUCUUCUCAACCGCACUCACCCCUGCUAGGAAAGGUUUCUCAUUGCGAAUACCGAGAAAUCGCCAUUAAAUUUAGCUAGCACGUAAACAUUUUCAUUCAAUGAACGUUUGUAUGAUACAGAGCAGUGGUUAUACCCCGAAAUAGCAUUAUCCUACCUAGUCUGGCACUCUGGAAUUUUGUCGCUGAAAACUCACUCUUCUCGUGACGUGCUUUUUUUGAGUCCACAUUGAAACAGACAGUGGUCGCUAACGACUAUAUAAUUAUCUAAUUUAAUUAAAUAUUUCACUCAGGAUAUGGUAGUAAUUAAUAGAAAACGUAAGCAGGUUUGCAUGUUUUAAACCAAGUAGUCUACAUCAUGGGAGGGGAGAUUUUUAGACUCAGAUGCCGCUAAAGAGUGAAGUUGUUUGUAUUCACACAAACAAAUUAUGUUUACAAGGAAUCAUUAUAGUAUACCAGUGUAUUAAAGUUGUAAUAUCACAUUUAGUGUUCGUGUUGUCUGUUCGUGAAAGCAUGCCGGUGUUUCAAUAAGAAACAGGAUAGUGAAAUGUAGAUGCUCCAAUUCUCUCAAUGUGUUUGAUGUCCGAUCACGGAAUUUCUUUUAAAAAUAGAAACCGCACGAAACUGAAGCGUGUGCCUUAUUAGCUGUGCUUUAUUUCUUGUUUAAAUUAGAGUUACUACCACUUUACAUGUUGUUGACAUUGCUUCUUAUCGCACUAGCAUUUGCAAUCUGUUGAUAAGAGUGCCUGAGUUCUUAACUGAAUAACUUAAGAGCUCGGUAUGUUUUUUAAGCCUCCGUACAGCACUCGAAGUAAAUAUUUGCGCGUGCAUUGGGGGAAGACUGUGGUCAGGAAAUGGUGUUUGUGAUGAGCUGAGAACUGCUCUUCAUCUCCCUAGCAACUUCCGCACAAACAUCCGUCGGUAUAAUAGACCAUAUUGCAACCUUGACCGACGAACUUUGUGCGAGAAGCAAGGACGAUAUUCACUUAAAGAUAUUACUUUGUAUACCGACUCUUAGUAAUAUUUAAAACGAGUUGGGAAAGUCAGUGUGUCUAACCGCAACGUUUAACAGAAGGUAUAAAGAGGAAAAACGAGGGCACCAGGUCAAUGGAAUUGCGUUGGCGAAGUUCUCAGUAAGUAGUUGUCAGAUUGUUUCACUGUGCCUCAUUUUAAGUAGUUUGUCGUCGUAUUUUUCGACGCGUGAUGAAUCAUAGAAUGAUCAGUUCACAUGUUUGUCGUUUUAUGAGCGUUCAUUUUAAUUUAUUCCAGAUGAAAACCGUAAUUUAAUUAAUGUGACAUCCCCUGUUAGCAUAACCACUUUGAAAUGGACGUAACAGAAGGCUUGUUUACUGUAUAGGCACUAACGUCUGUUGAUAGUGACUGGUAAUGCCUCACACAUUGGCCACAAAUCACACUUCAAUUAGUUUUAUUUACCAUUUGCAAUUAGCUUAUUUACAUUGCAGAGUGCUGUUCCGCUCAGGUAUGUAUGUGGCACAACGUUCUGUGUGUUCUGUAGUUUUAAUUGAGCUAUAAAUUGCGUAGACAGUGACUCGACACGGUUUUAAAAUUGUUCCACGCGCCAAAGCCAGUUCGAUUCCAGUAUAUGCUCGAGCUUUACCCGAGUGUAUAAUAUGGCUAAACGGGUUUGAAUAUGAAAACGUUUGCCUUAUCAAUCCCAGAUGGUUAACCGUAACUUCUUUUUUUUUUUUUUCCAGGAGUUAAAUUCAGUAUUUUCCCCUUACUUUCAAAUAUUAUCUCCAUAUGGUGAUACGGCCUCCCCAGCAGGUCAACUCCAGGUUGUAGCUAUGCGCGCCAAAAUGUCUUCCAAACGGAUGUUCGCUGUGGGAGCUUCGGUAUUGAUCCACUUUGCGACGCCAGUGCACUGACUUAAACGCAGAUUUAACUUCUUUAACAAAAUUACGUGCUUAAAGGCUAAUCCGAUCAGUUUUUAUACUAUGAAUCUUGCAACUUUUUUUGGCCCAUUUAGGAUUAAUUUACUGGCCGAGACAUGAAGAAGUCAGCAAUAAAGAACUCAACAAACCUUUGCGUAUAAAAACAGUUUUCUCGGAGAAGCCUUGUAAUAUUAGUCAAGGCUUGUGAACGUAAUGAUUCAUCAUUAGGCUGUCAUCGCAAGUCGAAUGUUUGUAGUUAGAGGAUUAAACCAACGAGUGGUAGUCUUGUCGUUUUGUCGGCAUUCGGGAGCCAUGUUAAGCCCAGUUGAAAUGAACGGAAACACAACCGUAAACUAAUAUGACAAUAAAAGUAACAUAGAUUGUAAUGAAAACAGCCUGAUUAGACUUAUCGCCUUAGCACCCAAGCAAAUCUGUUGUUUUUAUCUUAACUAAUACGAUUUUAUUGUUUUACUCAUCUCACCCGCAUAGUUAACCAAUAUUCCACAUGAGUUCGCAUGCAAACAAGAUUUUGAGAACUUUGAAUUAGUUUACAAUAUAAAGUAAUUUCAAAGAAACAAUUGACUACAGUUAACCUCGUGUUUUAGCUUGAGGUUAACUCUAAACCGUUGUAUCAAACUCGUGAUACUGCCAGCUACUGUCAUGUGCGCCCCACAAAAAGAAGACGUAGUUUUUUCUACUUGAGCAGCUGGCUAAUUGAUAGCGAAACAGUUUUUACAAGGUCUUAAUCCAUUAAAUGUGUGAUUGCUGUUGUUCACUGGAAUAGAAACGGUUAUGUCAUAAAUCAUUCUCAUCUUUAAUAGUGCCGUUUGCGACUUGAAGGCGCGUUGCCUGGCCCUUGGAAAAUAGCUCGGAAUAACUCUAAUCAAGAUCCAGCCUAAUGGCCCAGUAAAUGGCCGCUUGUCUUGCUCUAUCACUCGCAAUCGCCGAAUCUUAAAAAGAUAUCAAAAGUCGCUCGGACAAAGGCAACACCAUAAAUAGGUUAAUUGUUUUUUAACCCACAUUUCCGCUUAUUGUUAGAGUGAAACCGAAACCGUGAGUAUGUGGGCAAGAAAUUCUAGAUAUGCAUUCUGUUCUCUCGAUUUCAGAGGGCUGUGCCUCAUUCAGGAAUUGACCUUUGUUGACGGAAAUUUUUCAAUCCUCUUUUUUUCAGACGCAAGCAAGGCCCGUGAUUCACUUUCGCUUGGAUUUGCCAUUCUCAGUCCAGGGUCACUGAGCAGAGCAGAACAUUUACGUCUAUUAAAAAGCUAGCGGCGGUGCGGCUAUGGAUAAUUCAUCGGCAAGUCAUUAGUAAAACUCAUCACAACAGGUAAACUUCAGUGGAUGUUACAUGCUUGAAACUUUAUUUUCUUCUCUGUGUCGAUACGCCAUAUUUAGUUUGGGGCUUUAUCACGCUUUACUGCCUCAGUUCUUGGUCAACAAGUUGUGUAAUAACUCUAAAGUCGGCAUAAGUAACAUAGAAACAAGACCGGGAUGCUGAGAAAAUUUUUGACGCAAAUUUUUAAAAAGUCAACUUUGAUUUCGAGCGCUAAGAUAAGUGAUGUGAUGAAAUGCACUUGCACAUGAAAACCAUUUGGUUAGGAUCUAAGGCAAGCGAAGGCAUAUUCUCUACCAGGGUAAACGAGACAUUCGCUGGACAGGGAUUAGGCUUGCCAACCUGUGUCGACAAACAGCACAAUGAGACAGCGACAAAACACAAACAGAAUUAAACGACUACGCAGUCUUAAAAUCUCGCAAAAUGCACUACUUUCGCCAGUCUUAGAUGUACGAGUUUUCAGGGGGAGCACGUCUCUGCUAAUUGGAUCCUCUCCCCUCCCCUAUCACUGACAAAGCACCCUCUGAUUGCCUAUAACUACUGAGAUGUAACGAAAGGAACAAAUGGUCUUGAAAAUUCAGUAUUUACAAGUAGAUGAAGAGUAUAUUGGGAAGGGGUCAGUAGAAGGAAGCAACGGGCAAGUGAAUAAAGAAAGAGGAGAAAACAGUACAAUUUUCCCGUUAAAUUAAUUUUAUAUAAAUGGUAUAUAGUUUGCGAAAUCGUAUUCUCUGUUGACGCGCCUAACCACUCGCUUCUUGUGCAGAAGGCCUUGUAGCCAUAUAAACAAGUGAUAUUGAUUGAACCUUGGCGGAAAUUAAAUUUAUUCAUAACGGACUGUGUUUUCCUUCGUGUUCUAAAGCUGAAGGAUAGUUAGUUUCGAGUUUUACCGGAAAACACACGCGCGCGCGCGAGAAUUGGAUCAGCUCAAGCUUUCAAUGUAAUUUGAUCCAUUUUAGUUUUAGUUGAAGAGAGUGAAAGCAAAUGUUCGUGUUUUUAAGGUGAAGAAUGACGUUUUCUGGGUUCCUCGGCGCUGACGUAAACUGCGAUAUUUUACUUGAUUGCAAUAAACAAUUCUGUGACGUACAGCAUCGCACAUCCUAGCGCUUUACUGAACUAAAAAAACCACAGUUCAUACUACAGGGAACUGUUUUGUUUCACUUCGCCACUAAGUGGUCAAAACCCAAAGAGCGUGCGGUCACAGACCUUGGUGUGGACUAAAAAAACAUGCUGGACACAUAGCGCACUGUUUACAUUAAAAUACAGCAAGUUUACAAAAAAAUUUUCCCACACCAGGACAUAAGUCAUUUCUCUUGAGCUGAACUGGCUGGGUAGAAUCGAGAUUAUAUAAUCCAGUCAUUCUUUUAACGAUUGACGUAAUCUGCCGUACUUAUUAGAUAUAAGCCGAAGUACAAAUUUUGAUCAGAUUAACCCAGCAGCAGAGAUAACCGAACAGGCCGCGGUCGUUGUGUAAGCGAUUUUUGCAUCGUCACAAAAUUACGGCUAACGGGAAAACAGUAUUGAUCGCCGGGCGAGAAACGAUUACUCAAAUUGUCUGUCCGUUCCGUGGCGGUAACACAAUAUCCAGAGCGGAGACUUGGACCUCGAGAUCACCAGCGUGUGUCAGUCUUCCUUUAAGAGAGCUGCGGGUAAGACGGUCGCAGAUCGCUGUAGGAGAACCCAAGAUAUUCCGCCAGACAGUACAAGUUCAGUGAUGGAAACACAGACGAGACUGGUUGCGGUAGCCACUUUAGUGAUUCUUCAGAUGCUUUGUGUCCUUAGUGGAAUCCAGGAAGUUGGAGGCAAUAUGUGCAAAUCUAAAAUUACGUGUCUGAUUGAUGAGCCUGGGACCAAUCCGGUUUGUGGCAGCGAUGGAAGAACAUACAGCAGUCGAUGCCUUCUACAGUUUGCAAAGUGUCGUGGCCAUAAAGUUAAGAUGGUUCAUAAAGGAAAAUGCAAAGAUACUAAGCCAUUUC